UUAAGAAUCUUGCUCAAUGGGGGCAACCCUGAAGCAGCGACGCCGCGUGAACGAUGAAGGUUUUCGGAUUGUAAAGUUCAGUAAGGAGGGACGAAGAAAAUGACGGUACCUCCCUAAAGCACCGGCUAACUACGUG
RNAcentral lists this ribosomal RNA (136 nucleotides) under uncultured Leptospira sp. RNAcentral describes it as "partial 16S ribosomal RNA". It matches the Rfam family "Bacterial small subunit ribosomal RNA", at positions 355 to 507 of the family's 1533-position model. The record is from RNAcentral. Lineage: Bacteria; Pseudomonadati; Spirochaetota; Leptospiria; Leptospirales; Leptospiraceae.